GCAUAUCAAUAAGCUGAGGAAAAGAAACUAACUAGGAUUCCCUUAGUAACGGCGAGUGAACCGGGAUGAGCUCAAAUUUAAAAUCUGGCGUCUUUCAGGCGUCCGAGUUGUAAUCUAUAGAGGCGUUUUCCGCGCCGGACCGCGUCCAAGUCUCUUGGAAUAGAGUAUCAAAGAGGGUGACAAUCCCGUACUCGACGCGACAACCGGUGCUCUGUGAUACGUUCUCAAUGAGUCGAGUUGUUUGGGAAUGCAGCUCUAAAUGGGUGGUAAAUUCCAUCUAAGGCUAAAUAUUGGCGAGAGACCGAUAGCGAACAAGUACCGUGAGGGAAAGAUGAAAAGCACUUUGGAAAGAGAGUUAAACAGCACGUGAAAUUGUUAAAAGGGAAACGAUUGAAGUCAGUCGUGUGAAAGGUAUUCAGCCGUCUCUGGCGGUGUAUUUGCCUUUCACGGGUCAACAUCAGUUUGAUCCGGUAGAAAAAGGCGGGAGGAAGGUGGCACCCUCGGGUGUGUUAUAGCCUCCUGUCAUAUGUGCCGGACCAGACUGAGGAACGCAGCUUGCCGCAAGGCCGGGGUUCGCCCACGUACAAGCUUAGGAUGUUGACAUAAUGGCUUUAAACGACCCGUCUUGAAACACGGACC
RNAcentral lists this ribosomal RNA (639 nucleotides) under uncultured fungus. RNAcentral's name for it is "LSU rRNA". It matches the Rfam family "Eukaryotic large subunit ribosomal RNA", at positions 38 to 667 of the family's 3401-position model. The record is from RNAcentral. Lineage: Eukaryota; Fungi.